GGGCGGGUGGCGGAAUUGGCAGACGCAACGGACUUAAAAUCCGUCGGCCGCAAGGCCAUGCGGGUUCGAGUCCCGCCCUGCCCA
RNAcentral lists this transfer RNA (84 nucleotides) under Elusimicrobiota bacterium. Its description in RNAcentral is "Elusimicrobia bacterium (groundwater metagenome) tRNA-Leu". It matches the Rfam family "tRNA". From Rfam's summary of the family: Transfer RNA (tRNA) molecules are approximately 80 nucleotides in length. The record is from RNAcentral. Lineage: Bacteria; Pseudomonadati; Elusimicrobiota.